CGCUCCCCCAUGCACGCGGACACCCCCAACCACCACAGACGCUUCUUGGAGGCCCCUGAGCUUUUGUCAGUGUGGGAUUGGAGCGGUGGGACACAGACACUCUAUGUCAUCCCUACAAUGCCACUGUCUACCACUGCCUUUCAAAGACGGCUCAUCUGGAUUCUUUCUGAGCAAACGCCUGCACCAAUGAUGGAAUGGAAGGAACAACUCUGCAUGAUACCAGCUUCUGUGUGCCUUCCCUGUCUCACCCGCCAGUCUUUGCCAAAUGGUGCCAAGCAAUCUGACUCCUUCUAGAAUAUUCUAGCACCUUCAUGAUGACCAACAGCAGUAAACUCAGUGUGCAGGACUCCCUCCCAAGGACACAAAUCCAGAUUGACUUUUUUGGAUAUGAGAGAAACUGGAUGAAAUGCCAAAGCUCUCUAUGGGUUAACAGACAUGAAUUCUUAGUAACUGAAUUUGGUCACUUAUUUUCCACAAUUUGAUGGUAAGUCAGACCCAUCCUGGGGUGACAGAACUGAAUGAUAGCAGUAAAGAGUUGAGAACCUCAAUAAAGUAGGAAGCUACUACUGAGCUCCAGGCUGCGUAGACAGACACCAGGAUCUGGAGACCAAUAAAUCUUUGUUUUUUGCUUCUAAGACUCUCAGCUUCUCCUGCCCUAUAAAUACCUGUCUCUUCACUCUGUUGCAGAACCCUCCUAGCCUUCCCUUCCUCUUCCUCUUCCUUUUCCCUCUUUUUUCUCAUUCUUCCAGGAUAACUGCUGCAUGCUCUGCAUUUCAAAUGUCAUAUUGUCAGUCUACCCACGGGUCGUUUUCUGCUGAUUCUACUCCCUUUCAGGAAAUUAUGUUCCAUCCAAUCACUUGUGCAUUAUUUCAGCCCUGGAAAGAAAUCUCUUAUUGUGUCUUAGCUAAGUUCUUGUC
RNAcentral lists this long non-coding RNA (917 nucleotides) under Chinchilla lanigera (long-tailed chinchilla). Its description in RNAcentral is "lncRNA (ENSCLAG00000023223.1)". The record is from RNAcentral. Lineage: Eukaryota; Metazoa; Chordata; Mammalia; Rodentia; Chinchillidae.